CAGGCUCGCUGGGUGGGAAGGUGUACACCGCGCCACCAUCAGAGCUGCCCACUGCCCAGCCCUGGCGCUGGCUGCCCGCCCAGCAGGCUCCCCAGGUAGCCUGUGGCCCCAGCCCCCCAGAAAGCAGGUGCCGCCCAGCUCCCCCUCACCUUCCCCAGCAGCACGGGGGAGGCAGCCAGCCGGCCCUCCUGCCCGGCGUGGGCGUGUGCACAUAAAGGGGCCGGAGCGGCUCGGGACAGUGACCUCUGAGCCCGGCCUCCUCUUUUUCAGGGGAGCAGCUGCAGAGCUAGGACUUCCAGCUGCCUCGGGAGCCUCCUGGAGGGGGGGGGCGACACUCACCUUUCCCUAGAAGCUGGACUUGGAUUUGGAAGCAGGUGGACCUUUUGACGAGCAGCGCUUCUGGAACUAAUUUCUCUCUCUCUCUCUCUCUAACUAAUCUCUCUCUCUCUCUCUCUCUCUCACACACACACACAGCCUGGCUGAUUUUACAGUCAAUCUUUCAAAGUGCAAUUUGUCUAGGAAAAGCCAAUGCGAGCCCGUGCGCAGCCAAUGGCGGCCUGGCUGCGGCGGCUCAGCCAGUGUGGGGCCGUAUUCUAAUGGGCCCGAUCUUUAUCAGGGAAACUGUGCCUUCUCUGGGCGGAAAACUUCUCAUGGAGGGCCCCCAGACCCAGAGGCAGAACGGGGGUCUGAGCUGAGGUGUGGGAGCCCCCCUGGCCAGGCCAGGGCAGGGCGGGGAGCGGAGGCCUUGGGCGGCUCCCACCUGCCGGGAGCACCUGACUUCCGAGCAGCUGACCCGCAGGUCCCCGGCCUGGGCAGCCGCAUACCGCGGGGGGGACAGGCGGUCGUGACCCUGCCAUCCUGCCAUGAGGUUCUGGGCCAGGGCGUGGGGUCUCGGGCUUUAGGGGCCUGGGCCGGGGCCUCUCACCUUCCGUCCCCCUGACCCGGGGCCUCUCACCUUCCGUCCCCCUGACCCGGGGAUCAUGGAGUCCAACCUGCAGGGGACCUUCCUGCUGAACAACACACCACUGGCUCAGUUCUCGGAGAUGAAGGCCCCGGUGUGCCAGUACUCCGUGCAGAACUCGUUCUACAAGCUCAGCCCCGCCGGGCUGGGCCCCCAGCUGGCCGCCGGGACCCCCCACGGGAUCACAGACAUCCUGAGCAGGCCUGUGGCCACCCCGAACAGCAGCCUCCUCUCCAGCUACCCCCACGUGGCUGCCGGCUUCGGCGGACUCGGCUCCCAGGGGGUCUACUACGGCCCCCAGGUGGGGAAUUUUUCCAAGGCUGGGAACGAGUUCCCCACCCGGACCCGGAACUGCUGGGCGGACCCGGGCCAGGACUGGCGCGCCGGGCGGCAGUGCAGCAACAGUGAGUACCGGGCAGCCCCUGGGCCACCACGCACAAGCACGCCCGCGCCGGGCGCAGGGGCCGGGAGGGGGCCCUGCCCUUGGCCGCCAUCAGACAGCCCCGCUCAGACACCUGCACUCACGUCCGCCAUGCGGCGCGGGGUGGAACUCCACCCUGCCCCCAUUCCUGCCCAGCUGUGCUUGGACGCAGGUGCCACCUCGGCUGCCCUCAUGGGGCACUUGGGCGCCCACAGCUGUCCUGUGCAGGCCCAGCCGGCGGCUGACCUCACUGCUCCUGCCCGAGCCCGGGCGCCACUCCUCCACCCGGAGCCGGCCAAUGCUUCCUUCCUGUGAGGAAACCUGGCCGGCCUCCGCUUCCCAAAGAGCCCUGGCCCCGUCCAGAGAGGCAGGGCACACCCAGCCCCUUCCAGGUCCCGCCUGCCAGCCAGGGGUCUGGAGGAGGUGGCGGGAUGUGCACAGACAGCCCCAGACCCCCUGGGCGACAGCAUCCACAAGAAGAAGCACAC
Non-coding RNA from Microcebus murinus (gray mouse lemur), 1870 nucleotides. The record is from RefSeq and is a predicted model, not a curated record. Lineage: Eukaryota; Metazoa; Chordata; Mammalia; Primates; Cheirogaleidae.